This 356-nucleotide ribosomal RNA is filed under the name uncultured bacterium. RNAcentral's name for it is "bacterial SSU rRNA". It matches the Rfam family "Bacterial small subunit ribosomal RNA", at positions 28 to 385 of the family's 1533-position model. The record is from RNAcentral.
GAUGAACGCUAGCGGCAGGCCUAACACAUGCAAGUCGAGGGGUAACAGGGAGCUUGCUCCGCUGACGACCGGCGCACGGGUGCGUAACGCGUAUACAAUCUACCUUUUGCUGCGGAAUAGCCCAGAGAAAUUUGGAUUAACACCGCAUAGUAUUAUUGAGUGGCAUCAUUUGAUAAUUAAAGGUUACGGCAAGAGAUGAGUAUGCGUUCUAUUAGCUAGAUGGUGUGGUAACGGCAUACCAUGGCAACGAUAGAUAGGGGCCCUGAGAGGGGGAUCCCCCACACUGGUACUGAGACACGGACCAGACUCCUACGGGAGGCAGCAGUGAGGAAUAUUGGACAAUGGGCGAGAGCCUG